CUACGUGCCAGCAGCCGCGGUAAUACGUAGGUGGCAAGCGUUGUCCGGAUUUAUUGGGCGUAAAGCGCACGCAGGCGGUUUGUUAAGUCAGAUGUGAAAUCCCCGCGCUUAACGUGGGAACUGCAUUUGAAACUGGCAAGCUAGAGUCUUGUAGAGGGGGGUAGAAUUCCAGGUGUAGCGGUGAAAUGCGUAGAGAUCUGGAGGAAUACCGGUGGCGAAGGCGGCCCCCUGGACAAAGACUGACGCUCAGGUGCGAAAGCGUGGGGAGCAAACAGGAUUAGAUACCCUGGUAGUCCACGCUGUAAACGAUGUCGACUUGGAGGUUGUGCCCUUGAGGCGUGGCUUCCGGAGCUAACGCGUUAAGUCGACCGCCUGGGGAGUACGGCCGCAAGGUUAAAACUCAAAUGAAUUGACGGGGGCCCGCACAAGCGGUGGAGCAUGUGGUUUAAUUCGAUGCAACGCGAAGAACCUUACCUACUCUUGACAUCCAGAGAAUUCGCUAGAGAUAG
RNAcentral lists this ribosomal RNA (509 nucleotides) under uncultured bacterium. Its description in RNAcentral is "bacterial SSU rRNA". It matches the Rfam family "Bacterial small subunit ribosomal RNA", at positions 501 to 1009 of the family's 1533-position model. The record is from RNAcentral.